RNAcentral lists this ribosomal RNA (744 nucleotides) under uncultured Hyphomicrobiales bacterium. RNAcentral describes it as "bacterial SSU rRNA". It matches the Rfam family "Bacterial small subunit ribosomal RNA", at positions 8 to 796 of the family's 1533-position model. Lineage: Bacteria; Pseudomonadati; Pseudomonadota; Alphaproteobacteria; Hyphomicrobiales. The record is from RNAcentral.
AGAGUUUGAUCAUGGCUCAGAGCGAACGCUGGCGGCAGGCUUAACACAUGCAAGUCGAACGGGCACCUUCGGGUGUCAGUGGCAGACGGGUGAGUAACACGUGGGAACGUGCCUUUCGGUUCGGAACAACUCCGGGAAACUGGAGCUAAUACCGGAUACGCCCUUCGGGGGAAAGAUUUAUCGCCGAAAGAUCGGCCCGCGUCUGAUUAGCUAGUUGGUAGGGUAAUGGCCUACCAAGGCGACGAUCAGUAGCUGGUCUGAGAGGAUGAUCAGCCACACUGGGACUGAGACACGGCCCAGACUCCUACGGGAGGCAGCAGUGGGGAAUAUUGGACAAUGGGCGAAAGCCUGAUCCAGCCAUGCCGCGUGAGUGAUGAAGGCCUUAGGGUUGUAAAGCUCUUUCGGCGGGGACGAUAAUGACGGUACCCGCAGAAGAAGCCCCGGCUAACUUCGUGCCAGCAGCCGCGGUAAUACGAAGGGGGCUAGCGUUGCUCGGAAUUACUGGGCGUAAAGCGCGCGUAGGCGGCUUUGUAAGUUAGAGGUGAAAGCCCGGGGCUCAACCCUUGAAAGCCGGUUGAUACUGUCGGGCUAGAGUCCGGAAGAGGCGAGUGGAAUUCCCGGUGUAGCGGUGAAAUGCGCAGAUAUCGGGAGGAACACCAAUGGCGAAGGCAGCUCGCUGGGACGGUACUGACGCUGAGACGCGAAAGCGUGGGGAGCAAACAGGAUUAGAUACCCCGGUAGUCC